RNAcentral lists this ribosomal RNA (412 nucleotides) under uncultured bacterium. Its description in RNAcentral is "bacterial SSU rRNA". It matches the Rfam family "Bacterial small subunit ribosomal RNA", at positions 355 to 786 of the family's 1533-position model. The record is from RNAcentral.
UGGGGAAUUUUGCGCAAUGGGGGAACCCUGACGCAGCAACGCCGCGUGCGGGAUGAAGGCCUUCGGGUUGUAAACCGCUUUCAGUAGGGAAGAAAAUGACGGUACCUACAGAAGAAGCUCCGGCUAACUACGUGCCAGCAGCCGCGGUAAUACGUAGGGAGCGAGCGUUAUCCGGAUUUAUUGGGCGUAAAGCGCGCGUAGGCGGGCUAUUAAGUCAGGUGUUAAAGCCCGGGGCUCAACCCCGGCCCGCACCUGAAACUGGUAGCCUUGAGUCUGGUAGGGGAAAGUGGAAUUCCCAGUGUAGCGGUGAAAUGCGCAGAUAUUGGGAAGAACACCAGUGGCGAAGGCGGCUUUCUAGGCCACGACUGACGCUGAGGCGCGAAAGCUAGGGGAGCAAACAGGAUUAGAUACC